GGGGGUGUAAUGGCUUCGACAUGUAUUAUGCGGUUUACAAGGCAGUAGUCUGCAGACUAUAAGGCGCUAGGCAACCUAAACGGAAACCAAGAAAAAGAAGAGUUUGAAUAUUCAAACUUAAUGAUUGCUAAAAACAAUCAAGCAGCAAAUCUUUUAUUUGCAUACUAAAAUAAAAGUCAUUGAUUAGUUUUCUCAGCUAAUUAUAUGUGUCAGAGAUCGCUUUAAACGAGGAUGGCGUAGUUUGAAGUUAAAUUUAGCCUUUGCAAUAUUUAACAAUCUGUUCAUCUGUGUUAUUUAUUAAGACUUCUAGAUGGAAUAAACUGUAGAAUUGUGGCUUUAGUAAUAUUUGGACCCGGGUUCAACUCCCGGCAUCUCCACCA
RNAcentral lists this transfer-messenger RNA (380 nucleotides) under Mycoplasmopsis californica. RNAcentral describes it as "Mycoplasma californicum transfer-messenger RNA, SsrA". It matches the Rfam family "transfer-messenger RNA". From Rfam's summary of the family: Bacterial tmRNA, also known as 10Sa RNA or SsrA, is named for its dual tRNA and mRNA-like properties. Its role is to liberate the mRNA from a stalled ribosome. RNAcentral also lists the same sequence under 2 other names. Lineage: Bacteria; Bacillati; Mycoplasmatota; Mycoplasmoidales; Metamycoplasmataceae. The record is from RNAcentral.